Gorilla gorilla gorilla (western lowland gorilla) is the source of this 316-nucleotide long non-coding RNA. RefSeq lists it as uncharacterized. The transcript is spliced from 3 exons. The record is from RefSeq and is a predicted model, not a curated record. Lineage: Eukaryota; Metazoa; Chordata; Mammalia; Primates; Hominidae.
GCCAGUGGAGGCCAGCCGAACACACAGAACUCAAGAAGUCUCCUGGAGUCAACGUAUCCGCAGAAAGCUGAGCAGCUAAUGUCAGAUGAGAAAUGCUUUAAGCUUCUUUGAUGCUUUGGGAAUGCAGUUGUAUAAUCUCCACCUAAUUCACUGCAGCAACUGUUACGUCCACAUUUCAAGGAGCCACUCCAGCAGUGUGUUAGAGCCCCCGGUGUCCUUGCCAAGCCAUUAAAUCCUGAGCGUGCUCCCAGGGAUGGGGUUUCACCGUGUUGCCCAGCCUGGUCUCAAACUCCCGGGCUCAAGUGAUCCUCCUGCC